CCUACGGGUGGCUGCAGUAGGGAAUCUUCCACAAUGGGCGAAAGCCUGAUGGAGCAACGCCGCGUGGGUGAAGAAGGUCUUCGGAUCGUAAAACCCUGUUGUUAGAGAAGAAAGUGCGUGAGAGUAACUGUUCACGUUUCGACGGUAUCUAACCAGAAAGCCACGGCUACCUACGUGCCAGCAACCUCGGUAAUACGUAGGUGGCAAGCCUUAUCCGGAUUUAUUGGGCGUAAACGGUCAGCUGGCGGUCUUUUAAGUCUGAUGGUAAAGUUUUUGGGUUAACCGGGGUAGUGCAGUGGAAACUGGGAGACUUGAGUGCAGAAGAGGAGAGUGGAACUCGAUGUGUAGCGGUGAAAUGCGUAGAUAUAUGGAAGAACACCAGUGGCGAAAGCGGCUCUCUGGUCUGUAACUGACGCUGAGGUUCGAAAGCGUGGGUAGCAAACAGGAUUAGAUACCCUAGUAGUC
This 465-nucleotide ribosomal RNA is filed under the name uncultured bacterium. Its description in RNAcentral is "partial 16S ribosomal RNA". It matches the Rfam family "Bacterial small subunit ribosomal RNA", at positions 338 to 795 of the family's 1533-position model. The record is from RNAcentral.